This 269-nucleotide signal recognition particle RNA is filed under the name Peptococcaceae bacterium. Its description in RNAcentral is "signal recognition particle sRNA large type". It matches the Rfam family "Bacterial large signal recognition particle RNA". From Rfam's summary of the family: The signal recognition particle (SRP) is a universally conserved ribonucleoprotein involved in the co-translational targeting of proteins to membranes. Lineage: Bacteria; Bacillati; Bacillota; Clostridia; Eubacteriales; Peptococcaceae. The record is from RNAcentral.
CCGUGCUAGACGGGGAGGUAGCGGAUCCUUGUAGCCCGCAAUCCGCUAUAGCGGGGGUUAAUUCCUUUGAUGAGGGUCGGGCAGUCGGAGCAGUCCGUGUGAUUGGCGUGAUGAUUUUUUGGUCUUGCGCAACGGAACGCUUUGAACCGUGUCAGGUCCUGACGGAAGCAGCACUAAGAGGUUUGUUCCGUGUGCCGCGAGGCGGCCCGAAAUGAGCAUCAAUCCAAGGGUAACGUCCGGAGGCUGAGAUUCGAAUCAAAGGUGCACGG